UCCUCGUUUAAGCGAGGCAGUCUGUCCAGAGUGCUCCUGACUCACGCCAGGGUGGCAACAGGACAUAAGGGUUGCGCUCGUUGCGGGACUUAACCCAACAUCUCACGACACGAGCUGACGACAGCCAUGCAGCACCUGUGUAAGCUGGUAUUGCUACCUCGUUCCGCUUUCACGGUCCUACUACCUACAUGUCAAGGCCAGGUAAGGUUCUUCGCGUUGCAUCGAAUUAAGCCACAUACUCCACCGCUUGUGCAGGCCCCCGUCAAUUUCUUUGAGUUUUAAUCUUGCGACCGUACUCCCCAGGCGGCACAUUUAACGCGUUAGCUUCGCCACAGACGGGGUCGAUUCCGCCUACAGCAAAUGUGCACCGUUUACAGCUAGGACUAC
This 387-nucleotide unclassified non-coding RNA is filed under the name uncultured Verrucomicrobiae bacterium. RNAcentral describes it as "contains 16S-23S intergenic spacer region". Lineage: Bacteria; Pseudomonadati; Verrucomicrobiota; Verrucomicrobiia. The record is from RNAcentral.